GAUGAACGCUGGCGGCGUGCCUAAUACAUGCAAGUCGAGCGAACAGACGAGGAGCUUGCUCCUCUGACGUUAGCGGCGGACGGGUGAGUAACACGUGGAUAACCUACCUAUAAGACUGGGAUAACUUCGGGAAACCGGAGCUAAUACCGGAUAAUAUAUUGAACCGCAUGGUUCAAUAGUGAAAGACGGUUUUGCUGUCACUUAUAGAUGGAUCUGCGCCGCAUUAGCUAGUUGGUAAGGUAACGGCUUACCAAGGCGACGAUGCGUAGCCGACCUGAGAGGGGGAUCGGCCACACUGGAACUGAGACACGGUCCAGACUCCUACGGGAGGCAGCAGUAGGGAAUCUUCCGCAAUGGGCGAAAGCUUGACGGAGCAACGCCGCGUGAGUGAUGAAGGUCUUCGGAUCGUAAAACUCUGUUAUUAGGGAAGAACAAAUGUGUAAGUAACUAUGCACGUCUUGACGGUACCUAAUCAGAAAGCCACGGCUAACUACGU
RNAcentral lists this ribosomal RNA (496 nucleotides) under uncultured bacterium. RNAcentral's name for it is "partial 16S ribosomal RNA". It matches the Rfam family "Bacterial small subunit ribosomal RNA", at positions 28 to 506 of the family's 1533-position model. The record is from RNAcentral.